Molecule: long non-coding RNA, 480 nt
Filed under: Helianthus annuus (common sunflower)
Lineage: Eukaryota; Viridiplantae; Streptophyta; Magnoliopsida; Asterales; Asteraceae
Source: RNAcentral
UGUUUUGAGUUGCGAUACAAUGGUCACAUUAAUAACAAAAUGUGUGUUAAAAGUGUUUUAAAAUAUUAUAAAUGACAUUUAGCCACACAUUAGUCAAAACUGUGGCAGGCUUGUGUUUGAAAAAGUGUGGCUAAAGCCUAAUUUUGGCGUAGUGCCUAUAAAACUAUUGUUUUAUGACUAAAAUAUCAAGUGUCCUAUUACGGUGUAUUAUAAUAACACCACAAUGAUUAAGCGUCCUAUAAAGGUUAAAUUUAUAAGACCCAAGUAUCCAAGUGUCAAGUGUCUUUUUAAGUUAUAUUAUAAUAAAACUCUACCGUAUAAGCGUCCUAUAAAACUAAUGUUUUAUGACUAAAAUAUCAAGUGUCCUAUUACGGUGUAUUAUAAUAACACCACAAUGAUUAAGCGUCCUAUAAAGUUUAAAGUUAUAAGACCCAAGUGUCAAGUGUCCUAUUAAGUUAAGUUCUAAUAUGACUUCGACUA